GGGUCCUUAGCUCAGUCGGUAGAGCAGUAGACUUUUAAUCUAUUGGUCGCGCGUUCGAGUCGCGCAGGACCCACCA
This 76-nucleotide transfer RNA is filed under the name Ralstonia condita. Its description in RNAcentral is "Ralstonia sp. LMG 7141 tRNA-Lys". It matches the Rfam family "tRNA". From Rfam's summary of the family: Transfer RNA (tRNA) molecules are approximately 80 nucleotides in length. Their secondary structure includes four short double-helical elements and three loops (D, anti-codon, and T loops). RNAcentral also lists the same sequence under 1 other name. Lineage: Bacteria; Pseudomonadati; Pseudomonadota; Betaproteobacteria; Burkholderiales; Burkholderiaceae. The record is from RNAcentral.